Mastomys coucha (southern multimammate mouse) is the source of this 485-nucleotide long non-coding RNA. RefSeq lists it as uncharacterized. NCBI's taxonomy places the organism in Eukaryota, Metazoa, Chordata, Mammalia, Rodentia, Muridae. The record is from RefSeq and is a predicted model, not a curated record. The transcript is spliced from 2 exons.
UCAAGAAGGACUCCUCAAGCUCCACCUAAUGUUUGGCUAUUGUACUCUGCAUCUGCCUCCAUCAGUAACUGGAUGAAAUCUUUAUGGUCUCUUUGAUGAUGAUUAUGCUAGGCUCUGGUUCCAACAUACUCUGCAAGCAGGACAAACUAUAGGCUGAAUGUGUUGUGGCUGGAUAAAGGAAGCCAGCGAUGGAGAGUCACAGAAAGACUGACGACCAAGGACAAGUUCAAAGCCAGGUGCAGAUUCACAUCAGAACAUCAGGAGCAUGAACUACAGAUGGAUUUAAUGUUCUAAUUAAGAAAUUAACAAUGGUGAUUUAAAAGCCCAAGUAAAGCUGCUUACGCCGGACCAGUUUAAAGCCUAAUUAUACAGGGGAUUAGUCACAAGGACCAAGAGAGGUACAACUUGCACCCACCAAUCUCUUUUAUAACUGCAGACAUCAAACAAGUGAAAUAUUAAAGGAAAAGAAACAUUAUAAAGAAUAA